AGUUUUAUAUUCAAUAAUGAUAUUAAAUUGCAAAUUUAAAGGUAAAUUUAUAAAAUUUUAAAACUU
Molecule: transfer RNA, 66 nt
Filed under: Macrohyliota sp. 1 MJ-2020
Lineage: Eukaryota; Metazoa; Arthropoda; Insecta; Coleoptera; Silvanidae
Description: tRNA-Cys
Source: RNAcentral